CUGCUGUGGCUGAGCCUUGGGGUGAAGACAGGCAGCUGCUCCCAACCCCAGAACCUUUGCUGUCUUGGGACGGAUCACCGCUGCAAGAGGGGAAGUUGCUACUGUGAUGAAUUCUGCCAUGUGGCACCAGACUGCCACCCAGACCACAGUGUCCUCUGCAACCCUGGUCAAAGGUGCCUACAUGCUCCUUCUAGCUUUGUUUCCCUGAUGUUCCUUGCCACCUGCUACUCCUCUCUGAGCUACUUUUCCAGCUUCUCAGAUGACCAAGAUGGUGCUGCAGAUGGUGCUGAGGAUGGAGAACCCACCAAGCCCCG
Molecule: long non-coding RNA, 314 nt
Filed under: Homo sapiens (human)
Lineage: Eukaryota; Metazoa; Chordata; Mammalia; Primates; Hominidae
Description: non-protein coding lnc-MUC20-67:83
Source: RNAcentral